This 477-nucleotide ribosomal RNA is filed under the name uncultured Bacteroidota bacterium. RNAcentral describes it as "bacterial SSU rRNA". It matches the Rfam family "Bacterial small subunit ribosomal RNA", at positions 28 to 505 of the family's 1533-position model. Lineage: Bacteria; Pseudomonadati; Bacteroidota. The record is from RNAcentral.
GACGAACGCUAGCGGCAGGCCUAAUACAUGCAAGUCGAACGGUAAGGCCUCUUCGGAGGUACACGAGUGGCGCACGGGUGCGUAACGCGUAUGCAACCUACCCUAAAGAGGGGGAAAGUCGCGGGAAACUGCGAAUAAUACCCCAUGGUAUCUUAAGAUCACCUGAUCUAAAGAUUAAAGUUCCGGCGCUUUAGGAUGGGCAUGCGUCCCAUUAGUUAGUUGGUGAGGUAACGGCUUACCAAGACAAUGAUGGGUAGCUGGUCUGAGAGGAUGAUCAGCCACACGGGCACUGAGACACGGGCCCGACUCCUACGGGAGGCAGCAGUAAGGAAUAUUGGUCAAUGGGGGCAACCCUGAACCAGCCAUGCCGCGUGGAGGAAGAAGGCCCUCUGGGUCGUAAACUGCUUUUCUGAGGGACUAACUAUGUGCUAUACGCACGUUUGCAGGUACCUUAGGAAUAAGCACCGGCUAACUACG